RNAcentral lists this ribosomal RNA (429 nucleotides) under uncultured prokaryote. Its description in RNAcentral is "bacterial SSU rRNA". It matches the Rfam family "Bacterial small subunit ribosomal RNA", at positions 355 to 776 of the family's 1533-position model. RNAcentral also lists the same sequence under 1 other name. The record is from RNAcentral.
UAGGGAAUCUUCGGCAAUGGGCGAAAGCCUGACCGAGCAACGCCGCGUGAAUGAUGAAGGCCUUCGGGUUGUAAAAUUCUGUUAUAAGGGAAGAACGACUUUAGUAGGAAAUGGCUAAAGUGUGACGGUACCUUAUGAGAAAGCCACGGCUAACUACGUGCCAGCAGCCGCGGUAAUACGUAGGUGGCAAGCGUUAUCCGGAAUUAUUGGGCGUAAAGAGCGCGCAGGUGGUUGAUUAAGUCUGAUGUGAAAGCCCACGGCUUAACCGUGGAGGGUCAUUGGAAACUAUCCAACUUGAAUGCAGAAGAGGAAAGUGGAAUUCCAUGUGUAGCGGUGAAAUGCGUAGAUAUAUGGAGGAACACCAGUGGCGAAGGCGACUUUCUGGUCUGUAAUUGACGCUGAGGCUCGAAAGCGUGGGGAGCAAACAGG